RNAcentral lists this non-coding RNA (125 nucleotides) under unidentified. Its description in RNAcentral is "Frankia symbiont TPP sequence". It matches the Rfam family "TPP riboswitch aptamer (THI element)". Rfam says of the family: Vitamin B(1) in its active form thiamin pyrophosphate (TPP) is an essential coenzyme that is synthesised by coupling of pyrimidine and thiazole moieties in bacteria. The record is from RNAcentral.
CAACGUCAACGCGGGAGCUUCCAACGCAGGAGGCUGAGAGGGCGGCUGGGACCCACCCACAGUGCCGCCGACCGCCAGAACCUGUCCGGGUAAUGCCGGCGUAGGGAGGCUGUCACAUGGUGCUG